GGAGGGGGACUUUCAGAGAUGGAUUGGUGCCUUCGGGAACUCUGAGACAGGUGCUGCAUGGCUGUCGUCAGCUCGUGUUGUGAAAUGUUGGGUUAAGUCCCGCAACGAGCGCAACCCUUAUCCUUGUUUGCCAGCGAGUAAUGUCGGGAACUCCAGGGAAACUGCCGGUGAUAAACCGGAGGAAGGUGGGGACAACGUCAAGUCAUCAGGGCCCUUACGAGUAGGGCUACACACGUGCUACAAUGGCGCAUACAGAGGGCAGCCAACUUGCGAAAGUGAGCGAAUCCCAAAAAGUGCGUCGUAGUCCGGAUUGAAGUCUGCAACUCGACUCCAUGAAGUCGGAAUCGCUAGUAAUCGUGGAUCAAAAUGCCACGGUGAAUACGUUCCCGGGUCUUGUACACACCGA
RNAcentral lists this ribosomal RNA (406 nucleotides) under uncultured bacterium. RNAcentral describes it as "bacterial SSU rRNA". It matches the Rfam family "Bacterial small subunit ribosomal RNA", at positions 990 to 1393 of the family's 1533-position model. The record is from RNAcentral.